UACGGGGGGAGCAAGCGUUGUUCGGAUUUACUGGGCGUAAAGGGCGCGUAGGCGGUCAGCACAAGUCAGUUGUGAAAUCUCCGGGCUUAACUCGGAAAGGUCAACUGAUACUGUGCGACUAGAGUGCGGAAGGGGCAACUGGAAUUCUCGGUGUAGCGGUGAAAUGCGUAGAUAUCGAGAGGAACACCUGCGGCGAAGGCGGGUUGCUGAGCCGACACUGACGCUGAUGCGCGAAAGCCAGGGGAGCGAACGGG
RNAcentral lists this ribosomal RNA (254 nucleotides) under uncultured bacterium. RNAcentral's name for it is "partial 16S ribosomal RNA". It matches the Rfam family "Bacterial small subunit ribosomal RNA", at positions 524 to 776 of the family's 1533-position model. The record is from RNAcentral.